GUAAUACUCCCUCCGUCCCAAAAUUCUUGUCUUAUACUUGUCUAAAUACAGAUGUAUCAAGUCACGUUUUAGUAUUAGAUACAUCCGUAUCUAGACAAAUCUAAGACAAGAAUUUUGUGACGGAGGGAGUAGUAU
Molecule: non-coding RNA, 135 nt
Organism: Triticum urartu
Lineage: Eukaryota; Viridiplantae; Streptophyta; Magnoliopsida; Poales; Poaceae
Source: Rfam